Molecule: non-coding RNA, 29 nt
Filed under: Rattus norvegicus (Norway rat)
Lineage: Eukaryota; Metazoa; Chordata; Mammalia; Rodentia; Muridae
Source: RNAcentral
UCAUGGAGCUGGACCUACGGCUUCACUGU